CCAGGUCUGGUCACAAGAAAGCAGAGCGGUUGAAGGUGUGAGGGCCUUGGCAGAAAGGCUGUGUGUGGCAGAGUUUGGUCUGUCGCCUGCCGCCUUGACCACAGUCCAGCGCACUGGAGAACCUGGAGAAAGAACUUGAAUUGUCUGUCUCUUGCGAGGCUCCCUCAAGCUGCAUACUGACCUGCAUACCCACAACCCAGUGACGACCUCCCACUGUUCCAGGUCUCCUGCUUUCCACACAGUGACGCCACCCCCACCCCCACCCCACCUGUCACAGCAAUGCUUUAACCCAUCGACACAUCCUAUGAGAGGACCUGUAAUUGCCAAUAGGUCAGCCGUAAGCAGCAGAAUCGGUGACUCUUUCCACGCCUGUAACUGACUGGUAGGAGGACCUGACUUCUUGUGUGUUCCUAGUCCUACAGAGACAGAUGCCGUGAGUUCAGGAUUGCCAUGGCCCUGUCAUAUCUGGAUUGUUUUGUUCUUGAUAUAAGUGCUGCUACCUCUGAGCCAGCAUUGUGUAUCGCAUGCGUGCCUGGCGCCAAUGGAGGACAGAGGCAUUGGAUCCCGGAAAGCUGGAGUUAUAGAUGCUGUGAGACACCUGCUGUAGGUUCUGCGACCUUCCCAGAUGUUCUGCAGGAGCAGCAGGUCCCUGACUGCUGAGCCAUCUCUUCAUCUUGGUGUUUUACACACACACACUUUAACGUUAUAACCUCAACACUGACGUAAAUAACUCAUAAAAUUAAAAGGUUUUCCUUAACUUGUCUAAAAAGUUAUCAGAAAAUAAAGUAACUUUCUCAUUAUGUAUCUGGAGCACUGGAACUUGACUUUUUUAUUAUAAAAAUAAAUUCUGGGUCUGGAUCAAUGUCUCGGUA
This is a long non-coding RNA of Psammomys obesus (fat sand rat), 872 nucleotides long. RefSeq lists it as uncharacterized. The record is from RefSeq and is a predicted model, not a curated record. NCBI's taxonomy places the organism in Eukaryota, Metazoa, Chordata, Mammalia, Rodentia, Muridae. The transcript has 3 exons.